RNAcentral lists this ribosomal RNA (492 nucleotides) under uncultured bacterium. Its description in RNAcentral is "partial 16S ribosomal RNA". It matches the Rfam family "Bacterial small subunit ribosomal RNA", at positions 29 to 507 of the family's 1533-position model. The record is from RNAcentral.
AGUGAACGCUGGCGGUAGGCCUAACACAUGCAAGUCGAACGGCAGCACAGUAAGAGCUUGCUCUUACGGGUGGCGAGUGGCGGACGGGUGAGGAAUACAUCGGAAUCUACUUUUUCGUGGGGGAUAACGUAGGGAAACUUACGCUAAUACCGCAUACGACCUACGGGUGAAAGCAGGGGAUCUUCGGACCUUGCGCGAUUGAAUGAGCCGAUGUCGGAUUAGCUAGUUGGCGGGGUAAAGGCCCACCAAGGCGACGAUCCGUAGCUGGUCUGAGAGGAUGAUCAGCCACACUGGAACUGAGACACGGUCCAGACUCCUAAGGGAGGCAGCAGUGGGGAAUAUUAGACAAUGGGCGCAAGCCUGAUCCAGCCAUACCGCGUGGGUGAAGAAGGCCUUCGGGUUGUAAAGCCCUUUUGUUGGGAAAGAAAAGCAGCAGGUUAAUACCCCGCUGUUCUGACGGUACCCAAAGAAUAAGCACCGGCUAACUUCGUG